Sinocyclocheilus anshuiensis is the source of this 396-nucleotide long non-coding RNA. RefSeq lists it as uncharacterized. The transcript has 2 exons. Lineage: Eukaryota; Metazoa; Chordata; Actinopteri; Cypriniformes; Cyprinidae. The record is from RefSeq and is a predicted model, not a curated record.
AAGUUUGCAGUGAGACUCAACCAUCAGUUACUAUAAUUUAGUUGGACACAUAUUUACACCAACAACUCAACACAGAAUGGUGUGGUUUAUUUUUUCAUUUUUUUAUGAAUGUUAGUGUGGCCCAUAAUAACAAUUCCUCUUUCAAAUGGGUUGGUGUUCAUUCUCAGUGUGAUGACGUCACAGAAGGUCAGGGGGAUUUAGUCUGAGGUCAUCUGAUGUCUUAGAUUCACCUGCCGCUGAUGCACCCAGGAGGCGCCGUUUCUUUACAACCAACAACAGUAAACCCUGGUGAAAAUGUACCCAAUUGCCCUAACACAGCAGGCACGGUUGAAUCCUUUCCAGACUCCUCUUUUUUCCAUGAAACCACAACAGCAACAAGAGAGCCAGCAGAUAAAA